UACGUAGGUGGCAAGCGUUGUCCGGAAUUAUUGGGCGUAAAGCGCGCGCAGGCGGUUUCUUAAGUCUGAUGUGAAAGCCCACGGCUCAACCGUGGAGGGUCAUUGGAAACUGGGAAACUUGAGUGCAGAAGAGGAGAGUGGAAUUCCACGUGUAGCGGUGAAAUGCGUAGAGAUGUGGAGGAACACCAGUGGCGAAGGCGACUCUCUGGUCUGUAACUGACGCUGAGGCGCGAAAGCGUGGGGAGCGAACAGGAUUAGAAACCCCUGUAGUCC
Molecule: ribosomal RNA, 273 nt
Filed under: uncultured bacterium
Lineage: Bacteria
Description: partial 16S ribosomal RNA
Rfam family: Bacterial small subunit ribosomal RNA
Source: RNAcentral